Molecule: small RNA, 167 nt
Filed under: Streptomyces sp. F-3
Lineage: Bacteria; Bacillati; Actinomycetota; Actinomycetes; Kitasatosporales; Streptomycetaceae
Description: Streptomyces-metH RNA
Rfam family: Streptomyces-metH RNA
Source: Rfam by way of RNAcentral
CUCGUCCGCUUGGUGGACGCCCGGUUCGCCGGGGUCCGGUCCCGGCUAGGCUGACGACGUGCGCCCCCUCGGGGAGCUGUGCGCCCCGUUCCCAGGAACCCGGCGCUCCGCCUCCGGGGAAGGGGCGCAAAGCCGACAGCCGUCGCACCCGAGGGAGCCUCUUCAUG